Molecule: ribosomal RNA, 239 nt
Filed under: uncultured bacterium
Lineage: Bacteria
Description: partial 16S ribosomal RNA
Rfam family: Bacterial small subunit ribosomal RNA
Source: RNAcentral
CGAGUGGCGGACGGGUGAGUAAUGUCUGGGAAACUGCCCGAUGGAGGGGGAUAACUACUGGAAACGGUAGCUAAUACCGCAUAACGUCGCAAGACCAAAGCGGGGGACCUCCGGGCCUCGCGCCAUCAGAUGAACCCAUAUGGGAUUAGCUUGUAGGUAAGGUAACGGCUUACCUAGGCGACGAUCCCUAGCUGGUCUGAGAGGAUGAUCAGCCACACUGGGACUGAGACACGGCCCAG